RNAcentral lists this ribosomal RNA (253 nucleotides) under uncultured bacterium. RNAcentral's name for it is "partial 16S ribosomal RNA". It matches the Rfam family "Bacterial small subunit ribosomal RNA", at positions 524 to 776 of the family's 1533-position model. The record is from RNAcentral.
UACGUAGGGUGCAAGCGUUAAUCGGAAUUACUGGGCGUAAAGCGUGCGCAGGCGGUUAUGUAAGACAGAUGUGAAAUCCCCGGGCUCAACCUGGGAACUGCAUUUGUGACUGCAUAGCUAGAGUACGGUAGAGGGGGAUGGAAUUCCGCGUGUAGCAGUGAAAUGCGUAGAUAUGCGGAGGAACACCGAUGGCGAAGGCAAUCCCCUGGACCUGUACUGACGCUCAUGCGCGAAAGCGUGGGGAGCAAACAGG